GAGGGUACAGCUCAGUGGUAGAGCAUGUGCUUAGCAUGCACGAGGUCCUGGGUUCAAUCCCCAGUACCUCCA
Molecule: transfer RNA, 72 nt
Filed under: Camelus bactrianus (Bactrian camel)
Lineage: Eukaryota; Metazoa; Chordata; Mammalia; Artiodactyla; Camelidae
Also listed under: 2 other names
Rfam family: tRNA
About the family: Transfer RNA (tRNA) molecules are approximately 80 nucleotides in length. Their secondary structure includes four short double-helical elements and three loops (D, anti-codon, and T loops). Further hydrogen bonds mediate the characteristic L-shaped molecular structure. tRNAs have two regions of fundamental functional importance: the anti-codon, which is responsible for specific mRNA codon recognition, and the 3' end, to which the tRNAs corresponding amino acid is attached (by aminoacyl-tRNA synthetases). tRNAs cope with the degeneracy of the genetic code in two manners: having more than one tRNA (with a specific anti-codon) for a particular amino acid; and 'wobble' base-pairing, i.e. permitting non-standard base-pairing at the 3rd anti-codon position.
Source: Rfam by way of RNAcentral